Molecule: ribosomal RNA, 484 nt
Filed under: uncultured bacterium
Lineage: Bacteria
Description: partial 16S ribosomal RNA
Rfam family: Bacterial small subunit ribosomal RNA
Source: RNAcentral
AUUGAACGCUGGCGGCAGGCCUAACACAUGCAAGUCGAGCGGAUGAAGGGUGCUUGCUCCUGGAUUCAGCGGCGGACGGGUGAGUAAUGCCUAGGAAUCUUCCUGGUAGUGUGGGAUAACGUCCGGAAACGGGCGCUAAUACCGCAUACGGCCUGAGGGAGAAAGUGGGGGAUCUUCGGACCUCACGCUAUCGGAUGAGCCUAGGUCGGAUUAGCUAGUUGGUGGGGUAAAGGCCUACCAAGGCGGCGAUCCGUAACUGGUCUGAGAGGAUGAUCAGUCACAGUGGAAGUGGACCACGGUCCAGACUCCUACGGGAGGCCGCAGUGGCGACUAUUGGACAAUGGGCGAAAGCCUGCUCCAGCCAUGCCGCGUGUGUGAAGAAGGUCUUCGGAUUGUAAAGCACUUUAAGUUGGGAGGAAGGGCAGUAAGUUAAUACCUUGCUGUUUUGACGUUACCAACAGAAUAAGCACCGGCUAACUUCGUG